RNA transcript from Homo sapiens (human), 5641 nucleotides. It is a transcript of the gene named translation initiation factor IF-2-like, with no coding region annotated. The transcript is spliced from 2 exons. Lineage: Eukaryota; Metazoa; Chordata; Mammalia; Primates; Hominidae. The record is from RefSeq and is a predicted model, not a curated record.
AAUUCAUCCCAUCUAUAAUGCAUUGAAUUAAUACAACUCCCAAAUUUGUGGAGUGUUAUAUAAUGGAAUUCUAUUUUAUUCCAAAGUAAAUAAAAUAAUAAUGGUGAGGGGGAGAAAGGACUUGAAAAAGCCUCACACGGAGAAAUAGAAAGUCAGUUGAAGAAAUCAAUGAUUUGGAUUGUCCAAGUAAAAGGAAAGUAAUUAUACCAAAACAACUGUGUUCAGGAGAAGUCUGGAACUGUCUAUUAAACUGACAAAGAGCAGAAAAUAUGUCAGGUAUUUUAAAUGAUGACAGCAAACUAAUGGGAAAGUCAAAGGCAAUGAUCAACAUAACUGUCCACCUUUUGAUUUAGAGAUGUGAGAGAUGGUAAUGUAUGCCCAUGGUAUUUUUGUUUCAUUGGAAGUCUCAUCCAAUGGAAUCAGUGAUUUAAAUUUAAGACAUUGACAUAGAUAAUCAUGAAAAUAAUGAUUUGUUUCAAAUAUGUCUCACAAGGAAAUUCAAGGUCAAAAGUGAUUCAAAGAUUAGGAAGUCUGAAAAAAAAGGCAGACUGAAGAAACCAUGCAGGAUGAAGGAGUCAAUAGAUAUCUCUGUGGAGAGGACUUUUCUAUAAUAGCCCUAUUUUAUCAGCAUUAUGCUUAAGAAAAUUAGCCAACAUCCAAACAUUAGUAUCAGAAAAACAAUCAGGCGAUGCAGCAGAAGCCAUUGUGGUAUUUACAAGGACCUAUAAAUAUCCCCAAGUGCUAUUAGUAUGACAGCAUAGGUGAUGAGCACAGGUUAUUCUGACAAAGAGACGCACAUUCCAGAUACGCAGAGUUGGUUCCAGAAUAUAUCAUCAAGGGAUACCAGAUGACAUUGGAGACAUGGGUCUCAAAACAAUAGAGAGCAAGUCAUAAGGAAGAUGAAGUACAAUUAAAGCGAAUGGCCAAAGGUGCCAGAGGGCACAGAGGGGCUCACCAGGGCUAGGGGAAGAAAGGAAGACAACAUUGCUUUAGAGAUGUGCGUAGGUCACUGCAGACAAUGCAAGGACACAGAGAGGAACCAGACAAAUUAUGAUGCAUAGUAAAUCAAUUCCGAGUUAUGCAAUAAUGGAGACAAAGUGCCUGAAACAAGAUUUAUAAUUGUCAGCAAUGCUAACAACAAACUGUAGCAACUGUCAGGGCUUUGUCCUAAGGGAAACAAGAAUUUACAAAUAUAGGUUAAACCAAGUCAGAAUAAAAAAACAGCAACCACAGUUACAUUUACUUCAAUAAAUUAUACCAAAUGCCAACUAGGUACCAGGAACUGGGCUGGGAAUUAGAGUUACAUAGGAGACCCUGAGAAGCAUGCAUGUAGUCAGGGAGAGGGAUUGUGAAAAUAUCUAAUUGUUAUCCAAUAACAAUUUACAAGCAAUUGUGUGCAGUAGGUACAGAGCACAGUCAUGUUAUCAUGGAAGGUUACAGCCAGGGAAUUUUUCCAUAAAUGCCUGAUGUAUUAAAAGAUGUUUACAGAAAGUCAAGGUGAAGCGGCAUGCCAAGGGAAGAUGAAGCACAGAGGAAGAGGGCUGCGCUGUGUUCAGUGUCCCGGCCUUGCUUAGUUGGUGAAGGAAAAAGUCCUAAGAGGUAGGAGGGAGGUAGGAGACAAGAUGGGGGAAAUAGAUCCCAUCAAACUUGGGUGACCUUGUGUAUCAAGCAGGAAAGAGGGACUUCAUUUUUAGGCAAUAGACUCACUGAAGGGUUGAAAUAGGGAAGCAUUUCAGCUCUGGGUUUCAGACGGAUCAUGCUGAUGGCAAUGCACAGGGGAGGCUGGGAGGAAGCACAUCUCUGAAGUUAGCAAGACACAUCGGGAGCCUUUCUGUCUCCAGAUGGAGAUGUUCGGGCUCUGAAGUAAAAGAUAUUUCUGGAGUUCCACUCUUGACAUUAUAAUAAGAAGAGCUACAAAUUAUUAAUCCCUUUCUAGAUGCCAACUGCUUUACCCAAAUCAUCUCAUUGCUUCCUCAUAAUGUCAGAUGAGUUGGAUACCAUCGUGUCUGUAUAACAGAUGUGAACUUCUGUCUGCAGCUCAGAAGGUAAACAACUUGCCAGCUCCAGGAACACUUCUGACUGCAGUAUCUGCACUGAGUCAAGAGAAACUGCAUCUGCAGGACCUAGAGAAGCACCCGCGCUCUGUGCCCCGCCGCCUGCUCCCUGCUGCCGCGCUGCUUUCGGAGAAUCCCUUCCCUGAAUGGCGGCGGACUCCCAGAAAUGCCUGGAGAAACCAUUUUCCGUCUACCUCACAGAGCAGCAAGAAUUAAUGUCCUUAUUAACCACAUGCCAGUGAUUACUGCGAUACCAUGUUAAAAGCAUGGCACUGGAAAUCAGAAAAGCAGUGUUUUCAGUUCUGUUACUCAUUCCUGCUUGCAUGUUAAAAUCCUUUAGAAAACUCUAAAAAGAAAUAGCCCUGGGCCACCUCUAGAGACUAAUUCAGUUCAUCUAAGGUGAGUCCUGAGCAUGGCCAUCAUUUAAAUAUGUAUACAUGAAAGCAUUUUGUAAAGUAUAUAUCACUAAAUAAGUAUUUUAUUAUUAUAAUUACUAAUUCAAAAUACGUAUUGAAAGAUAAUGUGUUGACUUAUCAACUCCUGUUUCUUUCUUUAACCUAUUGCCAUUUUCCUCUCCACUGCAACAAAUUAGUAAGGACGUGUGUCUCCUUGCUCUGUGUGUGUGUGUGUGCGUGCAGGCGUGCGCACACACACCCUUACGCAUGGCACGAAACAGAAGUUUCCAGGAAUUCAGAAGCCUCUCCCAUCCAGGCUACUUGGAAAAGGCUCAACUCAUAGGGGAGGAGGAAGAUAGAACUAUGUUGUGGAGGCUUUGAAGUCAGGUGUCCGGAUUCAGGAAGAAGGGAGUUGUGCUUAGAGGGGGCAAAGUGGAGAAGCAAUUCCUCCCGCGUCUGUCUGUUAUUGUCUGGGAGCUGCAGUGCUGGUCUGCUCCUGGUCCGCUGCUGCCCGCCUGUAAGGAAGAGGCCCAGCCUGUGGGCUGGAGGCUGCAAGAAUCCAAGUCUGAGAAUUACAGUCGUGGGUGCUUGCUCAGCUGGUCAGUGGGGCAACAGAAUGCACUGCCUCAAGGUCCGUGCCCACUUAAUUGUGAUUUUAGGAUUCAAUAUUCUAUGAGUUGAGGGGCUCUUGGAGAUUUAUCUGAAUUGGAGAAAUGAAUGAUAGGAUUUUUUAAACUACACAACUCUGAUAUUGCACAAUAACAAUUCAGAGCUGAUACUCAUUUAGCAAGUUUACACAGACCUGUUAUGUAUCAAGUAGCUACUAUAUUAGUUUCUAGGGAUAUCCUUCAAACUCAACAGUUAGGGACAAUCGUGACAAAAAUAGUCAUAACAUGAAUAUAUUUGUCCUCCCCAUCAGCAAGGGUAGGGCUCAAAUGAAAUAGUAUGUUUGAAGGAAAAAUGCAUAAUGUCAUCAGAGUGAAUAAGUAGCCAUGGUUGUGACAGUCAGAUGGAGACACAAGAGCUGGGCAGAAUCCAAUUCAAUAACUUAAUAGCUGUAAGAUGAGUAUGAAAAAAAAAUCAGAAUGAAACUAAACAGCAAUUGCCUUCAUUGAUUCUAAACGAGGGGUAAAAUAGCCCAAGUGGAAGUUGCAGGCUCAAAUUAGAGCUCUGAAUCAGGGGAGCUGAAGACAAAUCAAAGUGCAAUCCAACCCACUUGUAGUGUUUGGACUUGGGGCCCAGUUUGACCUAGAGACAAUCAACGAAAUUCAGUCUGUCUUUCAUGGUUUUGAGAAAAACUGCCCUGGAUUUCCACUCCGGAUCUCAUACCCCCGCCAAAAUUUCUGAAUGCACAAACUCAGCUCAUUAAUGAUGCAACCUGAAUUACUUGGGAUAAAAAAAUUGUUUCCGUAAAGGAUAAAUAGGUGACUAUAAAUAACCCAGGAGGCUUAAAAUUAGGUAUAUUGAUGGCAUAAAUAGUAUGAAGACUUUCGUGUUGAGAAUAAUAAUCUGUAGAUAUAUAUAUUUUUUGGAGAUGGAGUCUUAUUCUGUCACCCAGGCUGGAGUGCAGUGGUGCGAUGUCAGCUCACUGCAACCUCCACCUCCUGAGUUUAAGCAAUUCUUGAGUCUCAGCCUCUCAAGUAGCUGGGACUACAGGCACGAGCCACCACACCUGGCUAAUUUUUUGUAUUUUUAGUAGAGACAAGGUUUUGCCAUGUUGACCAGGCCAGCCUCGAACUCCCGACCUCAAGUGAUCUGCCCGCCUUGGCCUCCCAAAGUGCUAGGAUUACAGGUGUGAGCCACCUCGCCCGGCCUUAUUUGGUAUUUUAAAUAAUGAUAAUGUUUAAAAGGAUUUUGCAUCCUAGAGAAUCUAAAAGAUUCGCCUUGGGAUUACACUUUUAAAAGUGUAAAUGAGGAAUUGGCUUAGAUUUGUAAUUUUAGGUUGAAAGUUAAAAGAAAUUUUACGAAGUUUGUAAAUAACAUUCAAAUAUUUAAAACCAGCUAAAAUCACCGUAUUUUCUGAAAUAAUUAUUGAAUUUGUCUAUUUUUAUUGUAGUAUCUUUGAUGUCUUUAGCCCAUAAUGUAUAAAAAAUAUUUGGCAUUAAGGGGGAAAAAAAAACAAAACAUUUCCAAAAUCAGAUGGGAAUAGCCAUAUCCCUUCUCUAAGUAAUUUUUACUGCUCUUUUCUAAACUCUUCUAAAGUUUUAGGCCCAAAAUGGAACUUAAGAAAUGCCAUUUAGACUAAUUAUCUAACCAUAUACGUGAAGAAACAGAGACUCAGAGAAGCUGAGAUAUUGCUUAAACCACAGCACUAUUUAGGGCAAAACCAACAAGAAGUUUCAUGACCCCCCAGUCCAUUGUCGUCUGAACUGGAUUAUCGGCUUUACUUAUUGCUUAGUGAUGAUAUAUGUUCCGGGGGAGCUUAUGAUCUGACCUUCAUCUGAACACAAUAGACUGCUUCUGAUUUUUCCAGCCAAAGAGAAAGUAUUUGGGUUUUGAGCAUCUUUUUAACUGAGAACAUUCCUCUUCCUGGCUAUGAAAACCUUCCCCUGUGUAUGUAGUAGGAAGACUGCUACACUAACCAGACUUCACCCAUUGCUUUCCAAAAACCAAUGUGAAAAGGCUAUUGAACUGAGCAGUGUAUUGUUUUGUCUGCAGCUUACCCAACAUGCAAAAAUACAGACUUUCUCAGUGUGCAUUGUUCUGUGUUCAGUUUCACAACUGUAAAGAAUAACUUAUUCCAUGUAAGAUUUUGUGUUGUGCCUAAAACACGAAAUAAUCCCCCUAGGAUCUACUAGAAAAGUAUCUUAUGCUAUAAGAACACUGAUCAUUUCUGCUACAAGCAAACAUAGAGGUUGUGUUCUAAAGUGUUAAUCUUCCUCUGGGGGUGGCUAGAGAACAGCUUACCAAGGGGGAGAAAUCUGGCUCAUGUCGACAAAGCUCUCACAGCUCUUCAGAAGAGAAGUAUUGUGUAAGUGCAAAGCUAUUAUUAUAUAAAAGCAUUCAGAGGAUAAUAUUAGCCAUAAUUGUAUUAAAUAUUAAUAUUAAUGCAAAUGGUGGCUAAGAGCUUAAAGAAGAGCUUAUAAACUGUAACAGUCAAUAACAAUGGAGUAAAGGUAUAUAAAAUUUGUAUAUUGUCAACCAUGCACACCAGACAAACCCAAUAAACUGAAAACUAAUAAGUUGCUAAAA